Molecule: ribosomal RNA, 253 nt
Filed under: uncultured bacterium
Lineage: Bacteria
Description: partial 16S ribosomal RNA
Rfam family: Bacterial small subunit ribosomal RNA
Source: RNAcentral
UACAGAGGUCCCGAGCGUUGUUCGGAUUCAUUGGGCGUAAAGGGUGCGUAGGCGGUUUUUUAAGUUUGAUGUGAAAUCCCGGGGCUCAACCCUGGAAUUGCAUUGAAUACUGAAGAACUAGAGAUCUGGAGAGGAAACUGGAAUUUACGGUGUAGCAGUGAAAUGCGUAGAGAUCGUAAGGAAGACCAGUGGCGAAGACGACUUUCUGGACAGAUACUGACGCUGAGACACGAAAGCCAGGGGAGCAAACAGG